AUAACAAAAUUAGUCAAUGAGUAUAUUUUGUUAAUGUUUUGAUUUUUAAUAAUGUUAUUUCUUGAUUUGAUUAUGUCCUUACCCAUUUCCAAUGCGAGUGCGGGCCUGCAGUGCGCUUUCACAGAGAGUACAGAAAGACUCCGCCCACACGCUGUUCUGAAUGGCUGUCAUUUUUGAUUGACGUGUGGCGUCUCACAGUCGCGUCGCGUCUUCUAGUGUGGACAGACACACUUGCUGUCGCUGGAAUUUUAUCGCGUCACGUGUAGUUAGGACACGGUGUGAAUGUGUGUUCUGCUGAAGAAAUACAGUCAUACACAUCUGGGAUGGCAUCAGGAAAGAAAGAGAGUGCUGGUGAAAGCUCGCUCUUGUUGGAGCCUAAGUUAAAGGAAGCACUGCGGGGACAAAGGCCGACUGUAUGCAAGCCGAACGCUUUAGAGCCCGUAAACAGGUAUCUGGAGGGAGGGGAAUUCAAAGGUGAACAAGAUGGCGAGUACUUGUGAGGAUAAAGGAAUCCAUUCGAUAUUGUUUGAAAGCUUUGGUUUUCGUGUGUCGGUAAAUAUGAACAGAGAACUGCCUCUCUGUUGAAUGUUUCUUUAGUUCGGACAGAUAAUAAGGCGUCACUCCACACACACACACACAAGGCUGUGUCAGGCCACUUUAAGGUAAUGUUUGAGUGCUCAAAACACCACACACAUGCUCGCACAAAGGGCACUAUUUCUUUAGUAGAUACACACUCUUAAACACACUUGUACAUAAAAUAGGUGCCAUAAUAGCAAAGCAUAAUUUGUGAGGAUAAAGGAAUCCAUUCGAUAUUGUUUGGAAGUUUAGGUUUUGGUGUGUCGGUAAAUACGAGCAGAGAACAGCCUCUCCGGCGAAAUGUUUCUUAAGUUUGGACAGAUAAUAAGAGGUCACUCCACACACACAUACACACACACACACACAAGGCUGUAUCAGGCCACUUUAAGGUAAUGUUUGAGUGCUCAAAACACAACACACAUGCUCGCACAAAGGGCACUAUUGCUUUUAGAUACACACUCUUAAACACACUUGUACAUAAAAUAGGUGUCACAAUAGUGUACUAACACUUCAUUUAAAUGGCACAUAUUUUAUAAACUCUUAAAUGUAAGCGACAUUUCAUGAGAAAUAUACAAUCCAGGGCCAUUGUCUGGGGAAACAUUGAAAAAAUGCAUCUUUACAUGGGGGCCCUUCUAUAAAAAGGUUGCCCCAGGCACUGUGAAUUCAAGCAAUGGCCUGGAUACAAUCAUUAUGGCUUUCACAAAUGUUACAUUAAAUGUUUUGCAAUCUAUGUUGCAGCUCUCUAAAAAAUAAAAAACUAUU
Molecule: long non-coding RNA, 1338 nt
Organism: Xyrauchen texanus (razorback sucker)
Lineage: Eukaryota; Metazoa; Chordata; Actinopteri; Cypriniformes; Catostomidae
Exons: 3
Source: RefSeq, a predicted model, not a curated record